GACUUUUCGGAAUGUACAACUUUUCUACUGCUGGUUUUACAAGGCGUACACGUUUUCACGGUGCUCCAUGAUUGUGAGAGGAAUAAAAGAAUUGUGGACAUCA
Molecule: long non-coding RNA, 103 nt
Organism: Haplochromis burtoni (Burton's mouthbrooder)
Lineage: Eukaryota; Metazoa; Chordata; Actinopteri; Cichliformes; Cichlidae
Exons: 2
Source: RefSeq, a predicted model, not a curated record